Harpia harpyja (harpy eagle) is the source of this 4438-nucleotide long non-coding RNA. RefSeq lists it as uncharacterized. Lineage: Eukaryota; Metazoa; Chordata; Aves; Accipitriformes; Accipitridae. The transcript has 2 exons. The record is from RefSeq and is a predicted model, not a curated record.
UGAGAGGGGUGAGAGAUGGUACAUGUUUCUGGACUGUGAUGGAGGCAGGGCCAUCAGCUGACACAUCCCGUCAUCUGGGACGCAGAAGAGGAUGUGUUUUACUAGUGUGAGUUCCAGCUCAUUCCCAGCAUAACGCAGGAACUCAGUGACUGGGGAGUGAAGGAGACAUGAAUUUGUGUUUCACAUGACUCAAAGUCAGCAUAUUUUUUAAGACUAAAUAUUUAAAUCUCAGUAUUCAGUGUUUUCACAUUUCUCUCUACUUCCGUAAAAUCUAAACAUUAAUGAACAUUUUUAACGUUUGAUUUGGAGAAGCUAGGAACUGAGCAAACCCCACUAGCCCUUUUUGAGCCCUUGGUCUGUUUUAGUAACUUCAGCUAGCUUGCCUCUCUCAGAAUUACAUUUUGUCCUUGUCUGUCCUUUCAUGCUUUUGCCUGUCACAUACCAGCUUUAUGUGAAGCCAGCUGUACUAAGGACAUAUUCCUGUGGUCAAUGUUCCCAUUAUCAGAUUUUGUCAGAAGAGCUCUGCUGGUUCAAAAGCAAAGAAGAAAUUUGGCUUGAUCAGGAUACCCACGUGCUGCGUAUAAAACACCCAGAGACUCUUCGGCUGUAUUCCUACCUGGUUUGGGCUGACAGAAGCAGGAAGCUACUGUACCACACCACCAGAGCUCCAGUCUCAUUUUGUGUAAGGCAUCUUUCUCUAACUGCAAUAAUGCCAAAGCAAAAUAACAUUAUAGGGAUGAGCUGCUGUGUUCAGCAUCUUGGCUGACUAGGGGUCUUGUUUGUUCCGGUUCAGCUACUUGUGGUAACAACAUCCUAACAACAUCUUCAUCCUAAGAUUCUCAGACUUCAGAGCUUGAUGAAGGAAGUUUGUUUAUCAUCCCUAGUUGCCUAAUGCAUAAAACAGUACUUUUUCUAAUCUUCAUUCCCUUCUUCCCCUGCUGAUUCCCUCUAGGCUGAUACUUGCCAUCCUUCAGCCUGCCUGUGUUCUCUGUCACUGCCAGUUCUGGGCUGAAUACAGCCCAUGCGUUUUUCAGAGCAAGAGGGACAUUUUCAGUGGGUCAAAUUAACAAUAGACCAAAGCAGCAUUUUAGGUGCCUCAAUGUAUUUGACCUCCCUGUGUACAGGAUUCCCCCAGGUACAGUACUGCAUAUUGACAAAUUUCAAAACUUAACAAGAUGGCUAUUUCCAAACUGAUGAGCAUCUGUUGGGAGGUUGCCAAAGACACAAGUGACAAUUAGAUGCCUAGAUGCCUCUGAAUCUCAGGAAAAAACAGCUGCAUUAUCCGCCCUAUGGGAGCAGUGCUAGGUCCAGCUUUAUUACAGACCACAGGGACACUUGGACUAAUCAGUGCUUGGGAAAGGAAGGGAAGCCAGGCAAUGAAGUGAGUGACAAGACCAAGCCCCUCCAUCAUUAUCUUCCAUUAUUACAACCAAUUGCCCCAUGUUGAGAAUUGCCCUGCUUUUCUGCAUAGCCCCGUGCCUCAGGCAAGUUCCUUCCUAGAAAUUAGUUGUUGUCCCAUAAGUUCAAGGUUUGGAGUUUUUUUUUGUUUUCACCUUUACUGAUAAGUUAUGGCUGUGCUGUUUUAUCCUUCUCUUAGGCUUUCGCUCCUCUAACUUUUAGGUUCAUGAAGCAGCAAAGCAGGUUUGAUUUGUUUGAAAGUCAUGUGGAAAAUUGAAAAGACACCAUCACAGAAGGUCUCUCUCUCAACAGAAAUUGUCUGUCACCCUGUGCACUAUAAAACCUUUCUCAAAGAGCUAAUUUGCAUGUGUUGAUAGUUUGUUAUUUUUCUUUUAUUAUUGAAAGCAUUCUGGGUUUGCUACCCCAGUGUCUCAGGCCAAAAAUUAUUAGAGGAGCUUCCAUAUGUCAUCUAUGACUUGAGACAUUAGAGAGAACUUGAUUUCCCUCAGGAAAUAUUUUUCAGAUAAUUCUGCCUGAAGAUAGAGUGGUAUGUGGCUUCUUUGUGGUUUUUUUUCUAGAUUCUUAUAAAUACUUUCUUCCCUGGAGAAAAGAGAAUAUUUCCAAUAAAUGCUGUCUUCCCCAUAAUUGCUCUCUUCUUUUUUACACUGUCUCUUCUUCCACCUCCUGUAUGCUGCCUUUCUGUGCUGAAACUCUGCAAUGAGUCUCCUGUUUAGCCAAGCCAGCUCCUCUUACACCCACCCGUCUUCCAGAAUAUCAAGUGCUAAUUAACUGUGCCUACAAGCCGUAACACUUUCCUAAUGAACAAGCCAUGAGCUUUAUGAAAGUACCUCAAAAGACACGGAGAGAACCGCUUCCAGCUGAGCCAAACCCAGCACAUCUCCUCGUGUCAGCCAGACGGGGCGAGAGUGGCUCCAUUUAACAGCCUUUUGGAGAGUUGCCGACGCUGUGCAAUUAAAAGCAAGCCUGCAAGAAGCAAGAGCGUUGGUGCUCAGCCGUGGCAGGGGGUGAGAGCGUGCCAGGAGGAGAGGUGUUUCCCGGGAGCCUGCUGAAGCCGUGCCGGCUCCGACUUGCGACAUCAUCCUCCGACCUUGCCUGAAAAUACACCGCGUUCGAGAAAAAAACAAAACAUCUGAGGACAGAGUGAAAGGAAAGUGUUGCAGGGAAGAGAGCCAGCUCAGCAGGAAGAUGUGGAGUUGGUGUAAUUGGAGGUGCAUGGGAGUGCCUUGGGAUGAAGGAGACUUUAAACGGAGAGGAAGGAUUAGUCCUUUCCGGGUAAAGGCAAAAUGGGAGAAAUGGGUUGAUUCACUGCCUCCACACUAACAGCAAAUGAGAUGGGUCUGUAUUUCCAUCCCUUCUUUUGCAGGCAGAGUCAAAACCAAAAGAGGUCUUCAGAGCUUUUACAUUCUGCAACAUAAUAGCCAAAAAAUGGCACUGGGAAGAAAUCAUUUGUUUCCUUAUUUUUUAUGCAUUUUUGAUGAAAGGCCCCAUGCUGGAUUGUCUUUACAGUGUUAGCAUAAAUACAAGUAAUAGGAAAGAGAGAAUAGAAAUGGACUUCCAUUUGGAAAAAUUAAAAUCUUUUAAUAUAAUAACAAAUUAAAUUCUUGUUAUGAACCAUUGUGUAACAGAGAAAAAAAAGAAGGGAUGUUUGAUUUGCAGAAGUUCCUGCUUAUCAUUCAUGGCAAAUGAAGCAAAUGCAGUUUUAUUGCAUGAAGGAACAAUCUCCAACUGGCUUGAACUAUUACGCACUCCAUUUAGCCCAGAGGCUAAAUGAGACAUGCAGCAAGAAUGAACGUUAUGUAAAAUAGGCAUAGGUUGAGGGAAAGCUGCAAGAAUGAAGCUGCAUGGGGCUGAAAAAUGCUUUUCCCAAAUUUCUCCGUUUCUUCCACCUUGCUCAUAGAACAGGGCCUGGAAGAAUCCCAGAAACAGCGUCUCUCAGGCUGAGCUCGCUCUUCUGUAUGGAGAGCAGCAGCAGCAGCAGUGCCAUGCAGCAGCAAGGAGGGAAAGGGAGAGCUGGGGGGGUAUAAAGGAGCACCAGGACCCCCUCUUCGGCUGUCAGACCAGGGUCUGACUCUUUGUAGCCCCCCACUUGUUGAAAGCGCAGCCGUUCUUCCUGUGGAAAGGCGAGUUUGCAAAACACAAAGAAUGAAUGAAAAUCACUGCUUUCAGGCAUAGAGCUGUAUGUAACACAUUCCCCUCACCAGCUGAGAAUAUCCAAUAGCGUAUGCAACACAUACUUCCCUUCUGUGGUUUCAAAAUCACUUUUCCUCAGUUAAAUCCACUUUGUGAAAACAUGACAAAUAUGAAUCUUUCAUGAUUCUUCAGUGCUUCUUUGGACUUUACACUAUAGCUUUGUUCACGACACGAAGGAGAACAAGGUUAGAGCAACACUGAUUUUUCCUCUUAAUGCUCUUUUAUCUGUGAACAUAAAUGGAAGAAAAGCAAAGCAAUAAAUAGUUUUAUAGAAUAGCUUCCACCAAAGGGGUCUUUAUGCCAAAGAAUAAAAGAAAGAUGAGGUUAAGUGUGCGUGGUCACACCAAAAAGUACCCUUUGACUUUCUGGUUGAUUGGUAGGCUGUGCUGCGAAAGCCAGCAUUAAACCUGAUUUAGAAAAGAAACACACAGGGAGGAAUAUCUAGUCAGAAUAACCCUACUGCCAGCCUCAUGAUUACAUUUGUAGCCUGUAAUUUUUUUCUAAAUCAUCUUUGAGAACAAGAAAUAUACAAAAAGUAUUAUUUAAAAAAAAAGGGGGGGGGGAGCGCCCACAGAAAAACUGACAGAACAAAAACAGCAACAAAAAUAAUAAAAGUAAAUCAGGCUGAGCACAGUGCAGUGUGCCCAAAAGCCCAGGUUUUGAAAGUAAAUUAGGAUAAAAACAAAGUCUGGCUUUUUUCUUUUCAAACUGUUCUACACUCAGCCUUCUUGACUUGUACAACUUGCACUUGUGAGCACAACUAUUGCUAUUUUACAUUCUUAUUUAAGAGGGCUUUUUAUCAUAACCCAUUAAAAUUCCAAUAUUCCUG